GGCCGGUUAGCUCAGUUGGUUAGAGCGCCGUGCUAAUAACGCGAAGGUCGUUGGUUCGAUACUCCGUACUGGCCA
Non-coding RNA from Dallia pectoralis (Alaska blackfish), 75 nucleotides. The record is from the annotation of a GenBank genome assembly. Lineage: Eukaryota; Metazoa; Chordata; Actinopteri; Esociformes; Umbridae.